UUGUCCCCUAUCGUUACAAUGAUGUAGCAUUGGAAGAUGGGAAGGAGAUGCCUCUGCCCUCUACCUUUGUUGUUAAUAUCGCUGAUGUCAGUGGCCUGACUUUUAGUGGUCACAUUUUCUCGGCUCCGCCGAAACCCCAGGCUGACAUCAGAAGGGCUGAUGUUGCUGAUUGUGUUGUUCGUCCGGUUGGAGCUGCUGAUAUUUCUCUGAAUCCGG
Molecule: long non-coding RNA, 216 nt
Filed under: Lathyrus oleraceus (garden pea)
Lineage: Eukaryota; Viridiplantae; Streptophyta; Magnoliopsida; Fabales; Fabaceae
Description: Pisum sativum (pea) long non-coding RNA (PSAT_LNC013295)
Source: RNAcentral